Molecule: non-coding RNA, 80 nt
Organism: Rattus norvegicus (Norway rat)
Lineage: Eukaryota; Metazoa; Chordata; Mammalia; Rodentia; Muridae
Source: Rfam
GCGCGCCGGGUCUAGUGGUCCUAAACAUUUCACAAUUGCGCUACAGAACUGUUGAACUGUUAAGAACCACUGGACCAGGC